GACGAACGCUGGCGGCGUGCUUAACACAUGCAAGUCGAACGGAAAGGCUCCAGCUUGCUGGAGUACUCGAGUGGCGAACGGGUGAGUAACACGUGGGUAAUCUGCCCUGCACUCUGGGAUAAGCCUGGGAAACUGGGUCUAAUACUGGAUUUGCCCUUUCUCCUUUUGGGUUUGGGUGGAAUGUUUUUCGGUGUAGGAUGAGCCCGCGGCCUAUCAGCUUGUUGGUGGGGUGAUGGCCUACCAAGGCGACGACGGGUAGCCGGCCUGAGAGGGUGAUCGGCCACAUUGGGACUGAGAUACGGCCCAGACUCCUACGGGAGGCAGCAGUGGGGAAUAUUGCACAAUGGGCGGAAGCCUGAUGCAGCGACGCCGCGUGAGGGAUGACGGCCUUCGGGUUGUAAACCUCUUUCAGCAGGGACGAAGCGUAAGUGACGGUACCUGCAGAAGAAGCACCGGCUAACUAUGUG
RNAcentral lists this ribosomal RNA (467 nucleotides) under uncultured bacterium. Its description in RNAcentral is "partial 16S ribosomal RNA". It matches the Rfam family "Bacterial small subunit ribosomal RNA", at positions 28 to 507 of the family's 1533-position model. The record is from RNAcentral.